This 1800-nucleotide long non-coding RNA is filed under the name Lactuca sativa (garden lettuce). RNAcentral's name for it is "long non-coding RNA (LSAT_LNC005403)". The record is from RNAcentral. Lineage: Eukaryota; Viridiplantae; Streptophyta; Magnoliopsida; Asterales; Asteraceae.
UUCAUAGUCAUUAAUUUAUUUCAUUCUAGGUCCAACAUGGCUCACAAUAUUGAAAUAAAUAGAUGUGAGUCCAAUUAGAGCCCAAUUAGGGUUCUAAGCCCAUGAUAGUCCAAUUGGAAGCUUAUUGGUCCACUUGGAUCCAAUAAGGAAGUUCUAGUCCAAAAUAGACUUAACAAGAACUUCUAGGGUUUUCCAAUUGUUUGAUGACUACUUGUAGUACUUGUAUAAUGUAUUUGAUUGAAGUUUUUGAUUCACAUUAACUUGAAUGUUUAGAUUACAUGACACAAAAUUUCCAGUUGUGACAUAAUCCCCCCGUUAGAGGGAAUUUCGUCCCGAAAUUCUGUUUGAAAGCUAGAUUUGAGAAUGCUAGAAUAGGUGAGGGUACUUCUGCUUCAUUUGAUCUUCGCGUUCCCACGUGAAUUCUGGCCCACGCUUUGCGUUCCACCGUACCUUCACGAUCGGGAUGCGGCUCUGCUUAGUACGCUUCACCUCCCUGUCCAUGAUUUCGAUUGGUUCUUCGACGAACAGGAGAUUCUCAUUGAUUUCGAUUUCGUCAAGAGGAAUGACAAGGGUUUCAUCUGAUAGGCACUUUUUCAGAUUAGAGACAUGAAACACGGGGUGUACACCGUUUAGCUCCGCGGGUAGUUGUAGUCUGUAUGCUACUGGACCUAUUCGGGCGACGAUUUCGAAAGGUCCAAUGUAUCGCGGGUUCAGCUUUCCCCGUUUUCCGAAACGUAUAACCCCUUUCCAGGGUGAGACCUUCAACAAUACUCGAUCACCGACCUGGAAUUCUAAGGGCUUUCGCCGUUUAUCAGCGUAGCUCUUUUGCCGGUCACGCGAUGCUUGUAAUCGAGCUUUGAUCUGGACAAUCUUUUCUGUGGUCUCGCGAAUGAUUUCCGGUCCCGUUAAUGCCCUGUUUGACGUAUGUGUUCUUGCUAGCUGGGUGUCACCUACUUCAGCCCAACAUAACGGUGAUCUACAUUUACGCCCGUACAGUGCUUCGAAAGGGGCCACCUUGAUGCUCGAAUGAUAACUAUUGUUAUAUGAGAACUCGAUCAACGGUAGGUGGGUAUCCCAAGACUUUCCAAAGUCUAUCACACAUGCACGAAGCAUGUCUUCAAGCGUCUGAAUGGUUCGUUCGCUUUGACCGUCCGUUUGUGGGUGAUACGCGGUGCUCAUAUCAAGAUGAGUUCCCAUGGCCUUGUGGAGCGACUGCCAAAAGCGUGACGUGAAUCUACUGUCCCUAUCCGAGAUGAUAGAUUUUGGCACUCCAUGAAGUCUUACAAUCUCUCGUAGGUACAAACGCGUCAGCCUCUCCAUCUUGUAGGACUCUUUGAUUGGCAGGAAAUGGGCAGAUUUCGUCAGUCGGUCGAUUAUUACCCAUAUGGUGUCCAAUCCGUCCGACGUCUUGGGCAGUUUGGUCACGAAGUCCAUAGAAAUCCCUUCCCAUUUCCACUCAGGGAUUGUCGGUUGCUGUAACAAUCCGGAAGGUUUCUGGUACUCCACUUUUACUUUGGCGCACGUAAGGCACUUACCAACAUAGGUUGCGAUUUCCGCCUUCAUGGUAGGCCACCAGUAGUGUUGCUUGUACCAACAUAGGUUGCGAUUUCCGCCUUCAUGUUAGGCCACCAGUAGUGUUGCUUGAUGUCCAAAUACAUCUUGUCCGAAGCAGGAUGAAUGGAGUAUCGUGUCUUGUGGGCUUCCUUCAUAACGGUCUCCCUAAAUCCUCCGAUUUUUGGAACCCAAAUACGGUUCAUGAAGUAGUAUACCCCAUUCUCUUUGACUUCCAGGUUCUUCUCC